Molecule: long non-coding RNA, 460 nt
Organism: Scleropages formosus (Asian bonytongue)
Lineage: Eukaryota; Metazoa; Chordata; Actinopteri; Osteoglossiformes; Osteoglossidae
Exons: 4
Source: RefSeq, a predicted model, not a curated record
CAUCUUUCAUUCUGAUUAUGGAACAUAAUCACUGCUCUGCGUGUAAUGGGACUGAAUAUAAAGUAUAUGAAAGAUGUUGUCCUGCCUGUGAUCCUGGAUUUUGUGUUCAACUACAUUGUACAGCAGCUUACACAACAAAGUGUGUUCCAUGUCCUGAAUCUACAUUCACUAAUAAACCACAUGGACGCCGAAUUUGCAACCCCUGUACAACCUGUGAUGAACAUCUUGGUGUGAAGACAGUAAAGGAGUGUACAGCCUCUUCAGACACAGUGUGUGGAGUCCUGGAAGGGAACUAUUGUACUGAUCCCUAUGAGGGAGGAUGUAGAGCAGCACAGAAACACACAACCUGUAAACCUGGAGAUUUCAUCAGACACCCUGGAACAGAUUCUACUGACACUGUGUGUGAAAUCUGCCCUGAAAACUCGUUCUCAGAUGGAUCUUCUACCUCCUGUACACCACA